Molecule: ribosomal RNA, 427 nt
Filed under: uncultured archaeon
Lineage: Archaea
Description: bacterial SSU rRNA
Rfam family: Archaeal small subunit ribosomal RNA
Source: RNAcentral
UUAAGCCAUGCGAGUCGAACGAGUUUAGGCUCGUGGCGUACGGCCCAGUAACACGUGGAUAACCUACCCUUAGGACCGGGAUAACCUUGGGAAACUGAGGAUAAUACUGGAUAGGUAAUUAUUUCUGCAAUGGUUUUUUGUUUAAAUGUUUUUUCGCCUAAGGAUGGGUCUGCGGCCGAUUAGGUAGUUGGUUAGGUAAAGGCUUACCAAGCCGUUGAUCGGUACGGGUUGUGAGAGCAAGAGCCCGGAGAUGGAACCUGAGACAAGGUUCCAGGCCCUACGGGGUGCAGCAGGCGCGAAACCUCCGCAAUGUGAGAAAUCGCGACGGGGGGAUCCCAAGUGCCAUUCUUAACGGGAUGGCUUUUCAUUAGUGUAAAGAGCUUUUGGAAUAAGGGCUGGGCAAGACCGGUGCCAGCCGCCGCGGUAA